UGGGGAAUAUUGCACAAUGGGCGCAAGCCUGAUGCAGCCAUGCCGCGUGUAUGAAGAAGGCCUUCGGGUUGUAAAGUACUUUCAGCGAGGAGGAAGGCGUUGUGGUUAAUAACCGCAACGAUUGACGUUACUCGCAGAAGAAGCACCGGCUAACUCCGUGCCAGCAGCCGCGGUAAUACGGAGGGGGCAAGCGUUAAUAGGAAUUACUGGGCGUAAAGCGCACGCAGGCGGUCUGUCAAGUCGGAUGUGAAAUCCCCGGGCUCAACCUGGGAACUGCAUCCGAAACUGGCAGGCUAGAGUCUUGUAGAGGGGGGUAGAAUUCCAGGUGUAGCGGUGAAAUGCGUAGAGAUCUGGAGGAAUACUGGUGGCGAAGGCGGCCCCCUGGACAAAGACUGACGCUCAGGUGCGAAAGCGUGGGGAGCAAACA
This 427-nucleotide ribosomal RNA is filed under the name uncultured bacterium. RNAcentral's name for it is "partial 16S ribosomal RNA". It matches the Rfam family "Bacterial small subunit ribosomal RNA", at positions 355 to 774 of the family's 1533-position model. The record is from RNAcentral.